UCCAACGCAUCCUUCGGGGUGAGUGGCAGACGGGUGAGUAACACGUGGGAACAUACCUUUUGGUUCGGAAUAACUCAUGAAAACGUGAGCUAAUACCGGAUACGCCCUUUUGGGGAAAGAUUUAUUGCCGAAAGAUUGGCCCGCGUCUGAUUAGCUAAUUGGUGAGGUAAUGGCUCACCAAAGCGACCAUCACUACCUGGUCUGACAGGAUGAUCA
RNAcentral lists this ribosomal RNA (216 nucleotides) under uncultured Alphaproteobacteria bacterium. Its description in RNAcentral is "partial 16S ribosomal RNA". It matches the Rfam family "Bacterial small subunit ribosomal RNA", at positions 62 to 306 of the family's 1533-position model. Lineage: Bacteria; Pseudomonadati; Pseudomonadota; Alphaproteobacteria. The record is from RNAcentral.